UACAGAGGGUGCAAGCGUUAAUCGGAAUUACUGGGCGUAAAGCGCGCGUAGGUGGUUUGUUAAGUUGGAUGUGAAAUCCCCGGGCUCAACCUGGGAAUUGCAUUCAAAACUGACAAGCUAGAGUAUGGUAGAGGGUGGUGGAAUUUCCUGUGUAGCGGUGAAAUGCGUAGAUAUAGGAAGGAACACCAGUGGCGAAGGCGACCACCUGGACUGAUACUGACACUGAGGUGCGAAAGCGUGGGGAGCAAACAGG
This 253-nucleotide ribosomal RNA is filed under the name uncultured bacterium. RNAcentral's name for it is "partial 16S ribosomal RNA". It matches the Rfam family "Bacterial small subunit ribosomal RNA", at positions 524 to 776 of the family's 1533-position model. The record is from RNAcentral.